ACUCAAAUGAAUUGACGGGGGCCCGCACAAGCGGCGGAGCAUGUGGAUUAAUUCGAUGCAACGCGAAGAACCUUACCUGGGUUUGACAUAUAGAGGAUCGCCGGAGAGAUUCGGUUUGCCUUGUGCCUUCUAUACAGGUGGUGCAUGGCUGUCGUCAGCUCGUGUCGUGAGAUGUUGGGUUAAGUCCCGCAACGAGCGCAACCCUUGUCUCAUGUUGCCAGCACGUAAUGGUGGGGACUCGUGAGAGACUGCCGGGGUCAACUCGGAGGAAGGUGGGGAUGACGUCAAGUCAUCAUGCCCCUUAUGUCCAGGGCUUCACACAUGCUACAAUGGCGCGUACAGAGGGCUGCGAUACCGUGAGGUGGAGCGAAUCCCUUAAAGCGCGUCUCAGUUCGGAUUGGGGUCUGCAACUCGACCCCAUGAAGUCGGAGUCGCUAGUAAUCGCAGAUCAGCAACGCUGCGGUGAAUACGUUCCCGGGCCUUGUACACACCGCCCGU
RNAcentral lists this ribosomal RNA (498 nucleotides) under uncultured bacterium. RNAcentral's name for it is "partial 16S ribosomal RNA". It matches the Rfam family "Bacterial small subunit ribosomal RNA", at positions 899 to 1397 of the family's 1533-position model. The record is from RNAcentral.